GUGCAGCAGGCGCGAAUACUCCGCAAUGCGGGCAACCGCGACGGGGCUACCCCGAGUGCCGGGCGAAGAGCCCGGCUUUUGCCCGGUCUAAAACGCCGGGCGAAUAAGCGGGGGGCAAGUCUGGUGUCAGCCGCCGCGGUAAUACCAGCUCCGCGAGUGGUCGGGGUGUUUAUUGGGCUUAAAGCGCCCGUAGCCGGCCCGGCAAGUCGCUCCUGAAAUCCCCGGGCUCAACCCGGGGGCGGGGGGCGAUACUGCCGGGCUAGGGGGCGGGAGAGGCCGCCGGUACUCCGGGGGUAGGGGCGAAAUCCGUUAAUCCCCGGAGGACCACCAGUGGCGAAAGCGGGCGGCCAGAACGCGCCCGACGGUGAGGGGCGAAAGCCGGGGGAGCAAAGGGGAUUAGAUACCCGGGUAGUCCCGGCUGUAAACGAUGCGGGCUAGGUGUUGGGUGGGCUUAGAGCCCACCCAGUGCCGCAGGGAAGCCGUUAAGCCCGCCGCCUGGGGAGUACGGCCGCAAGGCUGAAACUCAAAGGAAUUGGCGGGGGAGCAC
Molecule: ribosomal RNA, 547 nt
Filed under: uncultured archaeon
Lineage: Archaea
Description: bacterial SSU rRNA
Rfam family: Archaeal small subunit ribosomal RNA
Source: RNAcentral